UACAGAGGGUGCGAGCGUUAAUCGGAAUUACUGGGCGUAAAGCGUGCGCAGGCGGUGAUGUAAGACCGAUGUGAAAUCCCCGGGCUUAACCUGGGAACUGCAUUGGUGACUGCAUUGCUAGAGUAUGGCAGAGGGGGGUGGAAUUCCACGUGUAGCAGUGAAAUGCGUAGAGAUGUGGAGGAACACCGAUGGCGAAGGCAGCCCCCUGGGUCAAGAUUGACGCUCAUGCACGAAAGCGUGGGGAGCAAACAGG
RNAcentral lists this ribosomal RNA (253 nucleotides) under uncultured bacterium. Its description in RNAcentral is "partial 16S ribosomal RNA". It matches the Rfam family "Bacterial small subunit ribosomal RNA", at positions 524 to 776 of the family's 1533-position model. The record is from RNAcentral.